UACGUAGGUGGCAAGCGUUAUCCGGAAUUAUUGGGCGUAAAGAGCGCGCAGGUGGUUGAUUAAGUCUGAUGUGAAAGCCCACGGCUUAACCGUGGAGGGUCAUUGGAAACUGGUUGACUUGAGUGCAGAAGAGGGAAGUGGAAUUCCAUGUGUAGCGGUGAAAUGCGUAGAGAUAUGGAGGAACACCAGUGGCGAAGGCGGCUUCCUGGUCUGCAACUGACACUGAGGCGCGAAAGCGUGGGGAGCAAACAGG
Molecule: ribosomal RNA, 253 nt
Filed under: uncultured bacterium
Lineage: Bacteria
Description: partial 16S ribosomal RNA
Rfam family: Bacterial small subunit ribosomal RNA
Source: RNAcentral